This 537-nucleotide long non-coding RNA is filed under the name Phaseolus vulgaris (common bean). Its description in RNAcentral is "long non-coding RNA (PVUL_LNC004991)". The record is from RNAcentral. Lineage: Eukaryota; Viridiplantae; Streptophyta; Magnoliopsida; Fabales; Fabaceae.
CUUUCCUCAGCCCUCAACAAACAUUCUCGAUCCAGGUCGAACUCAAUAAAAAGAAUCCGUAUUGAGAAUGGUGGAACAAAAUUACAUUUUUGGGUAAGGUCAAAAUCACCAAAAGUGAUUCCCUACCAAGAAUGACAUAAUAAAAUUAAGUUCUCGGUCAAGGUCCAAAUAACCAAUGAUUCCCUACUGAGAAUUGCGUAAUAAAAUUAAGUUAUCGGUCAUGGUCAAACUCACUUUUGUGAGUCCCUACUGAGAAACGGUUAGUGCCGUCCGUGGAAAAGAAAUCCUACCAAGAGUAGCGAAACCGUUAGGCCCUUGGCCAAAGCCAAAAUUCACUUUAAUAAUUAUACAACGACAACAAUGAAACAAGAAACCUCUACCAAACACAAUUAAGAGAAACACGUCAAAAAGACCGAAUGUAGUUACGCAAAUAUAACAAUACAAAUCGUCAAGUAAAAAACUCAUUUACCAUCGACAUCUUGAGGUGCCAAUUUAAUACUCAACAUGUUAAGCAUGCCCCGAAAAAAUCCAAACACA